This 379-nucleotide ribosomal RNA is filed under the name uncultured Alphaproteobacteria bacterium. RNAcentral describes it as "bacterial SSU rRNA". It matches the Rfam family "Bacterial small subunit ribosomal RNA", at positions 352 to 749 of the family's 1533-position model. The record is from RNAcentral. Lineage: Bacteria; Pseudomonadati; Pseudomonadota; Alphaproteobacteria.
CACUGGGGAAUAUUGGACAAUGGCGCAAGCCUGAUCCAGCCAUGCCGCGUGAGUGAUGAAGGCCUUAGGGUUGUAAAGCUCUUUUGUCCGGGACGAUAAUGACGGUACCGGAAGAAUAAGCCCCGGCUAACUUCGUGCCAGCAGCCGCGGUAAUACGAAGGGGGCUAGCGUUGCUCGGAAUCACUGGGCGUAAAGGGCGCGUAGGCGGCCAUUUAAGUCGGGGGUGAAAGCCUGUGGCUCAACCACAGAAUUGCCUUCGAUACUGGAUGGCUUGAGUUCGGUAGAGGUUGGUGGAACUGCGAGUGUAGAGGUGAAAUUCGUAGAUAUUCGCAAGAACACCGGUGGCGAAGGCGGCCAACUGGACCGACACUGACGCUGA